RNAcentral lists this long non-coding RNA (758 nucleotides) under Homo sapiens (human). Its description in RNAcentral is "HSALNT0376628". Lineage: Eukaryota; Metazoa; Chordata; Mammalia; Primates; Hominidae. The record is from RNAcentral.
UGACACACUUGUGUCCAUUGAUCUCUAAGAGCAGCUGGGGAUUGUGGGUAAAGAAAGCUUUUUAUGAUUUACUGAAGAUAAUCAAUGCCUUCACAAUCUGGAACCCAAAGAUUGGAUCUUCUAAGAACAUCAGAGAAAGAAUCUAGAACCUAAAGAUUGGAUCUUCUGAGAACACCAGAGAAAGACUGACCUUGCUCUCCACACUGCAAUAAAACUUUGUGAUCUUGAACCUUAGGUUCAUAAUCUCACAAAUGAGAAGGCUCCCUCCACACUCUUGGAACUGUACACCCACUGAAACCCUUAAGAUCAAAAGAAACUGCCUCUGUGCAGUUGAAGACUAAAUCAAUUUUUCAGCCAUAAAUGAGCAUGCUAACAAAGAUCUUGGAAUUUGUAUUUAUGGUAAAAUGCUUUACAUGCAUUCUCAUUGAGGCAUAUGAGAUUCUUAAAUUUAAUUUUUGUUCUUGUUCCUGCCUCAAAUCCACCAAUGACUUUUCAUUGACGUUAGAAUGAACAUUAAACUCUGUAACAAAACCAUGUGGUCCCUGUUGAUGUAUUCAGCCUUAUCUGAAACCCUACUCUUUCUCUACAACAGUGAUCUUCUUUCAGUGUUUUAUGUAUACUAUUAAUUUCCUUCCAAUUUCAAAUUCUUUGCCUAUGCUAAGAAUUUCUUUCCUUUUCCUCUUCAUUUACCUGGUCUGCAAAUCUCACCCUGAAAGUCACUUCCUCUAGAAAGAAUUCUCUGUCCUCCCCCACAGUCC